UACGUAGGGUGCAAGCAUUAAUCGGAUUUAUUGGGCGUAAAGGGCGCGUAGGCGGCGAAUUAAGUCAGGCGUUAAAUAACUGGGCUCAACCCAGGAAGUGCGCUUGAAACUAAUUGGCUCGAGGAUAGACGGGGAGAGUAGAAUUCCAAGUGUAGCGGUGAAAUGCGUAGAUAUUUGGAAGAAUACCGGUGGCGAAGGCGGCUCUCUAGUUUAGACCUGACGCUGAGGCGCGAAAGCAAGGGGAUCAAACAGG
RNAcentral lists this unclassified non-coding RNA (253 nucleotides) under uncultured Chlamydiales bacterium. RNAcentral's name for it is "contains 16S-23S intergenic spacer region". It matches the Rfam family "Bacterial small subunit ribosomal RNA", at positions 524 to 776 of the family's 1533-position model. The record is from RNAcentral. Lineage: Bacteria; Pseudomonadati; Chlamydiota; Chlamydiia; Chlamydiales.